AGAGAUGCACUGGGUAUAAAGGGUGCGCAGGCGGUUUUGUAAGACAGAGGUGAAAUCCCCGGGCUCAACCUGGGAACUGCCUUUGUGACUGCAAGGCUGGAGUGCGGCAGAGGGGGAUGGAAUUCCGCGUGUAGCAGUGAAAUGCGUAGAUAUGCGGAGGAACACCGAUGGCGAAGGCAAUCCCCUGGGCCUGCACUGACNCUCAUGCACGAAAGCGUGGGGAGCAAACA
Molecule: ribosomal RNA, 230 nt
Filed under: uncultured Alicycliphilus sp.
Lineage: Bacteria; Pseudomonadati; Pseudomonadota; Betaproteobacteria; Burkholderiales; Comamonadaceae
Description: partial 16S ribosomal RNA
Rfam family: Bacterial small subunit ribosomal RNA
Source: RNAcentral